Molecule: ribosomal RNA, 293 nt
Filed under: Klebsiella variicola
Lineage: Bacteria; Pseudomonadati; Pseudomonadota; Gammaproteobacteria; Enterobacterales; Enterobacteriaceae
Also listed under: 1 other name
Description: partial 16S ribosomal RNA
Rfam family: Bacterial small subunit ribosomal RNA
Source: RNAcentral
AAUGCGUAGAGAUCUGGAGGAAUACCGGUGGCGAAGGCGGCCCCCUGGACAAAGACUGACGCUCAGGUGCGAAAGCGUGGGGAGCAAACAGGAUUAGAUACCCUGGUAGUCCACGCUGUAAACGAUGUCGAUUUGGAGGUUGUGCCCUUGAGGCGUGGCUUCCGGAGCUAACGCGUUAAAUCGACCGCCUGGGGAGUACGGCCGCAAGGUUAAAACUCAAAUGAAUUGACGGGGGCCCGCACAAGCGGUGGAGCAUGUGGUUUAAUUCGAUGCAACGCGAAGAACCUUACCUG